This 498-nucleotide ribosomal RNA is filed under the name uncultured bacterium. RNAcentral describes it as "partial 16S ribosomal RNA". It matches the Rfam family "Bacterial small subunit ribosomal RNA", at positions 29 to 523 of the family's 1533-position model. The record is from RNAcentral.
AUUGAACGCUGGCAGCAUGCUUUACACAUGCAAGUCGAACGGUAACAGGCCGCAAGGUGCUGACGAGUGGCGAACGGGUGAGUAAUGCAUCGGAACGUGCCCAGUCGUGGGGGAUAACGCAGCGAAAGCUGCGCUAAUACCGCAUACGAUCUAUGGAUGAAAGCGGGGGACCGUAAGGCCUCGCGCGAUUGGAGCGGCCGAUGUCAGAUUAGGUAGUUGGUGGGGUAAAGGCUCACCAAGCCGACGAUCUGUAGCUGGUCGGAGAGGACGACCAGCCACACUGGGACUGAGACACGGCCCAGACUCCUACGGGAGGCAGCAGUGGGGAAUUUUGGACAAUGGGCGAAAGCCUGAUCCAGCAAUGCCGCGUGCAGGAAGAAGGCCUUCGGGUUGUAAACUGCUUUUGUACGGAACGAAAAGGCUCUGGUUAAUACCUGGGGCUCAUGACGGUACCGUAAGAAUAAGCACCGGCUAACUACGUGCCAGCCGCCGCCGUAA